This 119-nucleotide ribosomal RNA is filed under the name Pomacea canaliculata. Lineage: Eukaryota; Metazoa; Mollusca; Gastropoda; Architaenioglossa; Ampullariidae. The record is from RNAcentral.
GCCUACGGCCAUACCACGUUGAACACACCGGUUCUCGUCCGAUCACCGAAGUUAAGCAAUGUCGGGCCCGGUUAGUACUUGGAUGGGUGACCGCCUGGGAACACAGGGUGCUGUAGGCA